This 85-nucleotide small RNA is filed under the name Cricetulus griseus (Chinese hamster). Lineage: Eukaryota; Metazoa; Chordata; Mammalia; Rodentia; Cricetidae. The record is from RNAcentral.
CCAUCCAAGUACUAACAAGGCCCGGCCCUACUUAGCGUCCGAGAGCAGAUGCGAUCGGGUGCGUUCAGGGUGAUGUGGCCAUAGA